UACGUAGGCAGCGAGCGUUGUUCGGAGUUACUGGGCGUAAAGAGUGCGUAGGCGGUUUUCUAAGUUUGGUGUGAAAUCUCCCGGCUUAACUGGGAGGGUGCGCCGAAAACUGGAAGGCUUGAGUAUGGGAGAGGUAAGCGGAAUUCCUGGUGUAGCGGUGAAAUGCGUAGAUAUCAGGAAGAACACCAGUGGCGAAGGCGGCUCACUGGCCCGGUACUGACGCUGAGGCGCGAAAGCGUGGGGAGCAAACAGG
RNAcentral lists this ribosomal RNA (253 nucleotides) under uncultured bacterium. Its description in RNAcentral is "partial 16S ribosomal RNA". It matches the Rfam family "Bacterial small subunit ribosomal RNA", at positions 524 to 776 of the family's 1533-position model. The record is from RNAcentral.